This 231-nucleotide unclassified non-coding RNA is filed under the name fungal sp. RNAcentral's name for it is "partial internal transcribed spacer region". The stretch from base 1 to 48 matches the Rfam family "Eukaryotic small subunit ribosomal RNA", at positions 1784 to 1831 of the family's 1831-position model. The record is from RNAcentral. Lineage: Eukaryota; Fungi.
AAAAGUCGUAACAAGGUCUCCGUUGGUGAACCAGCGGAGGGAUCAUUAACGAGUUCUACAAAAACUCCCAAACCCAUGUGAACAUACCCUGCGUUGCCUCGGCAGGCGGCGUCCCCUCUCGGGCGACCCUACCCUGCCGGAGGCCAUCACAACUCUUGUUUCUAUAGUAUCAUUUCUGAAAUUCAUAACUAAAAUAAGUUAAAACUUUCAACAACGGAUCUCUUGGUUCUG